UGAUGAGAGGGCAAUCUGGCUGCGAGAUCUGUCAUCCCAUUGAUCGCCAGGGUUGAUUUGGCUGAUCUGGCUGGCUAGGCGGGUGCCCCCUUCCUCCCUCACCGCUCCAUGUGCAUCCCUCCCGAAGUUGCAUUGUACUCUUUAAAUGGAUGAUUUGCAUUGUUUGUGAAUUAUAUCUCAACAAAGCUGUUAAAAAAUCUAUUACCAUUCAAAAAGGAUAAAAAUACUAGGGAAUAUGUUUAACCAAAGAAAUGAAAGACUCAUACACUGGAAAAUACAAAACAUUCUUGAAAGAAAUUU
Molecule: small nuclear RNA, 300 nt
Filed under: Prolemur simus (greater bamboo lemur)
Lineage: Eukaryota; Metazoa; Chordata; Mammalia; Primates; Lemuridae
Description: 7SK RNA (ENSPSMG00000018493.1)
Rfam family: 7SK RNA
About the family: 7SK was discovered as an abundant small nuclear RNA in the mid-70s but a possible function has only recently been suggested. Two independent studies have found that 7SK RNA binds the CDK9/cyclin T complex (known as elongation factor P-TEFb). P-TEFb activates transcription by phosphorylating the C-terminal domain of RNA polymerase II.
Source: Rfam by way of RNAcentral